AUCCCUUCUUGGCCUUUUGGAUAAGAUCAAGUAUACUAUCUGUCCUUAUCAGUUUAAUAUCUGAUAUGUUCCCAUCCCACCUGAUCUCACAGAGAGGGCAUGCUUCGGAUCCCCGCGGUAAAAGAACUUCGAUUAGUGGGGUCCAGAAGGCGGGCCUUCUCUGCUGUGGCCCCCGCCCUUUGGAACAUCU
Molecule: non-coding RNA, 190 nt
Organism: Python bivittatus (Burmese python)
Lineage: Eukaryota; Metazoa; Chordata; Lepidosauria; Squamata; Pythonidae
Source: RefSeq, a predicted model, not a curated record